Long non-coding RNA from Pogona vitticeps (central bearded dragon), 714 nucleotides. RefSeq lists it as uncharacterized. NCBI's taxonomy places the organism in Eukaryota, Metazoa, Chordata, Lepidosauria, Squamata, Agamidae. The record is from RefSeq and is a predicted model, not a curated record.
CCAAGUCUGAAGGAUUCUGGGACUUGUAGUUCUCCGAGGAAUUUCCCUUUGCCGCGACGGCACUCCUCGGGAGUCAGCCUCGCCUCGUUCAGGCCGGGUCUCGUUUCUCAGAACCUGCGCCUUCGUAGCCAAGAAAGGGCAGAGAGUGGAAAUCAAGAGACAGGACCCUAAAGAAUAAUUCGUUGGGAUUUCUCCCACAGUCCACUGGAUCUUCUUUCACCUAGGAAAACAAAGAAGCAAAGAUGCUUACAGGUACAGGAAUAGAAAUUGCUUAUUCCAUUAAAAACUAUUAAAAUCACUGAGCAGUAGAAAUUUCAUGACGGAAUACAAUUCUCAGCAGCACAAAGGCCCUGGAUUGGUUGUUCAGCUGUGGUGGGACGGGCAGAAGAUGCAGAUGUCAGCAUCUGCCUUAUGACCUUAACAAUUGCCUUCUCUGGGGACCUUUGUCGUUCUGGAUGAAGGUUCUCAAAGGCGGAAGGUCCUGACAGAUGGGAUCUCUCUGCCGUGGACGUUUGAAUCUCUAGAGGGAACCCACGUGGAGCAGAAAUCCUCCAAAGAAUAGGAUGAUGGUGCGAAAUGCUGCUGUUUUUAGUGAGAGACAUCUGGCUAUUCUGUUUAUUCCAUGGGGAUUGGAAAGGAGUGCAAUGCCCUAUUUGACAAAUUCUGCGGUCAUAAGAAAAAAAUAAACAUUAUAUAUGUGUGUGUUUUUUGAAA